GGGAAUGUGGCUUAGUGGUAGAGCGCUUGCCUAGUAUGCAUGAAGCCACAGGUUCAAUUCCUCAGUACUA
Molecule: transfer RNA, 70 nt
Filed under: Dipodomys ordii (Ord's kangaroo rat)
Lineage: Eukaryota; Metazoa; Chordata; Mammalia; Rodentia; Heteromyidae
Rfam family: tRNA
About the family: Transfer RNA (tRNA) molecules are approximately 80 nucleotides in length. Their secondary structure includes four short double-helical elements and three loops (D, anti-codon, and T loops).
Source: Rfam by way of RNAcentral